CAUCUAUUUUCGUACUCUGCAAGCACACAUUCGCUCACGCCCACAAAACAAAAAGGGCACCUACAUAAACUUCAGCAUAUAUAUAAAGGUUCGACCCGCCAGCCCAUAUGCAGGCCCAUUAUUCCAUGGGCUAGGAACCUCAUGACAAAUACAACCUUUUUACCAGGUCCAUUCCAUCUGCCUUAUCCUCUCCUUCAGACCAACCGAAACCGAAUCAUCUCUGCUUCGGACUUUCGUCCGCCUUUCUGUCUUCCUUGACGGCAAUUUCUAUCGCUUGUUGCCCCGUCCGUUCUGCCUGUAGAGACUUCACGUAUGAUCCAAACUGGCCUGAGAUAGUUCAGGGUCUUGAGCAUGGACAACAGGCGGUCGAUGAGGCUGAUUUUACUGCUCAAGUGUAUCAACUGAAACUCCUUGAGUACGUGGAAAAAAUUAAGGCCGGACAGGUGUUUGGGCUUGUAGUUACUGUCCUCCACUCCGUGGACUUCCACAAGAGGAGUCUGCCCCAUGCACAUAUCCUUGUUUGGCGGGAAAAAGAUUAUGGGCAGGUCACAAGUGUCGCUGCUCGUGGGUUGUCCAAAUGAUACACGGGCCAUCAAAAAACUGUGCGGCCCAGCCGCAGCCUACCUAUGGCCCGAUGACGGUAACUCUCACCUCCGGGGCCCCCACCAGCCGAGACGCCCUUAUCCAUCUUCUCCUUCUCCUAUCGUCUUAUCCAUCCAUCUCCUCACACUCUUCCUCAUCGCCUGCUCAGAUCUAACCUGCGGCAGCACCGACGCCAAGCUCAACAUGGAAGCCACGAAGGCUGCUGCCGAUUGACUCUUCCACACGAUCCACGAUUUCUCUGCCGACCUGACCAGCGCCCCUUCUCCCACCGGUCAGCAUCGUCUCUCUCGGCAGAGUCAAAUCCUUCUCGCCAUGGAUGACAACUUAUUCGUGCCUCUGCUCCCGAAGCUUGCAGCAACACUGGUCACCGCCAGCAGGCAGCACGUGCUGCAGUUAUCCAUAAAUGCCCUUAGAGUUACAGCAAGCCAAUCAGUACACUAUGACGAAGAUGAUGACAGUUUCUUUGCCACUGUUGAAAUACAUGUUCCAGCACAUGAAAACAUUCCUCAGUUUAAAACAACCAUAUUUGCUGGACACAACUGCCAAACAACAAACGCGGCUCAUGAAUCAGCGAGUACUACUGCUCUGCAUUACAUGCAGCAAGGAGGCAUUCUAAUUAUCGAUGACCUGAAUUUCCCUGAGCUUCAAAAGUGCAAAAAAGAGGUGGUCAGAGCCAAGUCAUGGUCAGACAUAUUUGAGCAUGAAACAGUCAAGCUAAAGAGAAAAAUAGGUUCCUUAGAGAGGGAAUUAGCAUCUCUUAAAGAGAACAGUGUUGUUCGUAAGCCAAUCCAGCAACCCUAGGCAACAGAAGAGCUAGACCAAUAGGUAUAGGCUGAACCUUCUACAUCAUGCAAUUUAGUUAUUCUUUACUUAGUUCUUCCUAAUUAGUGAAUAACCUCUAAAAAAUAUAAAUGGUACAGAUAUGUACCUCAUACGAUUUAGCUUAAAUUUUUUGUUAUGCUGCUGAGAAAAUUGAACAAUUUUUCCUUUGUGUAUUGAAAACACGCGCCACCAUUUUCAUCUAAGAACUUCUAUGCACAAACUGAUUUCAUUCAACGGCUUGAAUCUCAGCUUUACUAAGCAUUUUAUGUUUUCCACUGUCUUCCUACCUGAUGUUUCUUUGCCUCUGUGUUUAAAGCCCUCAGCUGCAUUGCAAAUGUCAACACCGCCUACUGAACAAUAGUUUAUACAGCCUAUUCCAGUUGCAGACACGGUCAGUUAUAUCCUGUGUUUUAGCGUGAUAUAUGUCUUUCAACUGCACUUCGUAUCCCACUACAACCACAUGUAAUUCCACUUCUGGUACAAACAGAGGAUGCACAAUACCAAUGAACCAAUGGAUGUAUUUUCUAACUUCUCACUUCAGCCUUUUUAACUCUAUAUUUAAAAACCUCAAAUGAAUUAUAGGUGUCAAUCCCACCACAUGAACAUCAUUGCACUGAACUUUUCACUGUUGCCAAUAAGGUCAGUUAUUUCCCCUUUUCAGCUAAUCUAUAUGCAUGCUGCAAGUGCGCUUUCAAUACCUGUGUAAUAACAUGUCCUGACCAUGUGCAGCCCAAAGAGAACAACAAAGGCGAUGGCCCCUUCCUGUCAGCUACAACAUCAACUCAUAAAUUACCUUCUUCUAGUGCCAGAACCCUAACAAGAAAGCAUGGCGUUGGUGCAAGAAGGGCUUUGUUUGCCAGCAAGCGAAAAGACACCAAUGCUUAGAUGCCAAGGGAUCAAUUAGCAACAGCACAAGUUCUAUUAGUUCGUGUAGUAUAUGCUGGAGCUCUUGGUUGUACGCUUUUGAGUAGCCUAUAUGAGCUAACAAACAGAACACCUCUUCUAUAUCAAUGUAUUAUACUUUCAUGAUUUCAUCUACUAAAAAUGCUUCUACAAUCUAUUUAUCAUUUGUAUGCUUUUAUAAACCAUAGUAACAGAUUGCUAUUAACAAGGUGGAUUAAAGUUCCAGAGCCAGGUA
RNA transcript from Triticum aestivum (bread wheat), 2563 nucleotides. RefSeq lists it as uncharacterized. NCBI's taxonomy places the organism in Eukaryota, Viridiplantae, Streptophyta, Magnoliopsida, Poales, Poaceae. The transcript has 9 exons. The record is from RefSeq and is a predicted model, not a curated record.